Molecule: long non-coding RNA, 849 nt
Organism: Labrus mixtus (cuckoo wrasse)
Lineage: Eukaryota; Metazoa; Chordata; Actinopteri; Labriformes; Labridae
Exons: 3
Source: RefSeq, a predicted model, not a curated record
CAACACACUGAUAGUCGUCGGUAAAGGACACAGUACGUUGUCUUGGUAACGGUCACAUGGAGAGACAAUGGAGCUCCGGCCUGAACAUUGGAAUCUAGGGAUUUACUUCACCCCCCAUUUGGUCUUAAAUUACCCGUCCCACCGUCUUUCACACUCUCAUGAUGGACGCCAAAAACACGGUCAGGUAACUCUUCAGUUUACAUGUAAGCCAGAAAGGGGGGGGGGGGGGGGGGGGCGGGGGUUAUACAGAAAAGCAACAGAUAACAUGACAUCAGACUUUGACAUUAGUCAACUGUUACAAAUAUUCUGCAAGCUGAGAACAUACAGUCCUCCUACAAACCCCUUCACAACGUGUUACAUGCUCUAAAGGAAGGGCAGGUUCCAGUCUGCUACGGGUUACAGUGAGAGUCCAUGAGCCCCUUGAUAGACCAUCGACGUGAGAGGUGAGUCCAACGCCAUGACAGGUGAGUCCAUCCCCCAUGAGAGGUGAGUCCAACGCCAUGACAGGUGAGUCCAUCCCCAUGACAGGUGAGUCCAUCCCCCAUGACAGGUGAGUCCAUCCCCCAUGAGAGGUGCUGGAAUGCUGGGAGCGUUAACGGGGUCCAAAGAAAGAGUGCAGAAAAACAAAGGAUUAGGGAGAGGAGGAGGGCAGCCCUGAGCGCUUCCUGAGGACUCAACAGUGUCCCAUCAGAUCCUGAUUCUUCCUGCCGCUGGGCAAACCAGGGGCCACUAUGGCAACAAGUCCAAUGAGAUCCUCCACUGAGCUCUUCAUAUAUUCUUUAUGAUGUUGGCAGUGUCAUUAAAAAAAAAAAAGGAAUAGGAGGAAAACGUUUAAAAGCUAACUGUGAA